Molecule: long non-coding RNA, 792 nt
Organism: Amphiprion ocellaris (clown anemonefish)
Lineage: Eukaryota; Metazoa; Chordata; Actinopteri; Pomacentridae
Source: Ensembl
GUUUCGUUUUACGACAGUUCUGUCUGUGCUCGAUAGAGAAGCAUACAGUUUUCUUACCUGCGUCCAGCAAGAAUUACAAUUAUCUUAGCCAGCCGCAUUUUUCCUGUCUGUGGAAUUAUAUUUUGGAGAACAAAAUAAACCGGAGAGUUUAUAUUUUUUCUUUAAUCAUGACGUGUCCGGAGUGGAUCUGUGGGAUCGGGCAGCUGAGCUAACUGCGAGCAUUGCAUGUGGAAAUACUUUCUUGCAAACGAGACUCAGUUUCCUGAUGAGUCCAGCAGGAGGCAGAGUUGUUCUCAGACUGAUCAGCUGUCAGAGGAACAGGAGAAUAAAACAUCCAGAUGUUCAGUAGAAGGUGAAGCUGCUGUUAAUGAACCAGAGCAGCAGCUCAGAGACCUUCAGAUGAUGUCAGAGAAGCAGCGUCGCCAUGGAAACCGUCUCCCUGAUCCCGGAGCUGAGGAUGUGACGGUUCUUCAGGUGGAGCCUCCAGACCUCCAGGUGUCUCCUCCUCCUGGACGUGUGACCAGCUGGCAGGAAGCAGGAGGUUCAGGAGGUUCCAGCUGAUUGGAGCCUGAAGAACAGAAUCCACAGUCUGGAUUUCCCUGAUCCUGAUCCUGAUCCUGAUCCUGAUCCUGAACCUGAUCCCGAUCCCGAUCCCGGUCCCGGUCCCGAUCCCGAUCCCGAACCCGAUCCCGAUCCCUAUCCUGAACCUGAUCCUGAUCCUGAUCCUGAUCCUGAACCUGAACCUGAUCCUGAUCCUGAACCUGAACCUGAACCUGAACCUGAACCUGAUCC